RNAcentral lists this ribosomal RNA (470 nucleotides) under Williopsis saturnus. Its description in RNAcentral is "Cyberlindnera saturnus partial large subunit ribosomal RNA". It matches the Rfam family "Eukaryotic large subunit ribosomal RNA", at positions 117 to 585 of the family's 3401-position model. The record is from RNAcentral. Lineage: Eukaryota; Fungi; Ascomycota; Saccharomycetes; Phaffomycetales; Wickerhamomycetaceae.
GAAAUCUGGUACCUUUGGUGCCCGAGUUGUAAUUUGAAGAUAGUUUUCUGGUGCUGGCCCUUGUCUAUGUUCCUUGGAACAGGACGUCACAGAGGGUGAGAAUCCCGUCUGGCGGGGUGUCCAGUGCUUUGUAGAUUUCUAUCGACGAGUCGAGUUGUUUGGGAAUGCAGCUCUAAGUGGGUGGUAAAUUCCAUCUAAAGCUAAAUAUUGGCGAGAGACCGAUAGCGAACAAGUACAGUGAUGGAAAGAUGAAAAGAACUUUGAAAAGAGAGUGAAAAAGUACGUGAAAUUGUUGAAAGGGAAGGGUAUUAGAUCAGACUUGGUGUUUUGUGAUUAUCUUCCCUUCUUGGGUUGUGCACUCGCAUUUCACUGGGCCAGCAUCGGUUCGGGUGGUAAGAUAAUGACAUUGGAACGUGGCACUGCCUUCGGGUGGUGUGUUAUAGCCCUUGUUGAUGUUGCCUACCUGGACC